RNAcentral lists this ribosomal RNA (371 nucleotides) under uncultured organism. RNAcentral describes it as "bacterial SSU rRNA". It matches the Rfam family "Bacterial small subunit ribosomal RNA", at positions 526 to 896 of the family's 1533-position model. The record is from RNAcentral.
CGAAGGGAGCGAGCGUUGUUCGGAAUCACUGGGCUUAAGGCGUGCGUAGGUGGAUUGGUAAGUAAGGAGUGAAAUCCCAGGGCUUAACCCUGGAACUGCUCUUUAGACUGCCUGUCUGGAAUUCGGUAGAGGUUGGUGGAACUCCCAGUGUAGAGGUGAAAUUCGCAGAUAUUGGGAAGAACACCGGUGGCGAAGGCGACCAACUGGACCGACAUUGACACUGAGGCACGAAAGCGUGGGUAGCAAACAGGAUUAGACACCCUGGUAGUCCACGCCGUAAACCAUGUUUGCUAGCUGUUGGAGUCCUUAGGGCUUCGGCGGCGGAGGGAAACCAUUAAGCAAACCGCCUGGGGUGUACGGCCGCAAGGUUA